This is a long non-coding RNA of Aquila chrysaetos chrysaetos, 959 nucleotides long. RefSeq lists it as uncharacterized. The transcript is spliced from 3 exons. The record is from RefSeq and is a predicted model, not a curated record. NCBI's taxonomy places the organism in Eukaryota, Metazoa, Chordata, Aves, Accipitriformes, Accipitridae.
GCGCCGCGCUCCCCCGCCGCUCCCCGCUCCGUCGGCGGCAGCCUCCUUGGCGGCGAUUUCCCCCCCCCCCCCCCCUCCGCUUUCCACCGUUCCGUGCGUGCUUCAGUCACCGCCCCGGCGCCGGAACCGCCGGCGACGUCAUCACCCGCCGCGGCGGCGCCCUGAGGCCGCUUCCCUCCUCUCCGCCCGCCCUCGGCCGGGGAUGGCGGCCAUCUCCUCGUCCCCGCCCCGCCGGGCUGCUGCUCUGUGGAACGGAGGGCAGGGGGACAGCCGGGGAGGGGGAGGUCUGGGGGUCGCCGUCGGAGAGAGAAGGUGGUUGGGCAGGGCGGCUGCUAGGCGGCCGCUCUGGACCGGUCGAGUUGCUGCGUCAAACGAAAUGGCAGGAGAGGGCAAGUUUCCUGUGAGCAUCUCAACUGCUGUGGCCUUGUGAGUAAAGAAAAUAAAGAAAAUCCAGACAGACUCAGAAUUUAACAAGAGCAGUGCUAGCCUGGAGGAACUGCUUAGAGUUACAGCAGCCCGGUUCAUCAAGGGACAGCACCUCUAUAUGUGCAGAAGGUAAAGCAUUUACAUGAAUGCUAACACUCAAACCCACCCAGUAUGAAGGCCCAUUUGGGAUUGACUUCUGCCUACAUUUGGCAUGGUAAACCAGAAAACUGAAAAUUCAUACUACUCCCAGUAGGAAUAAUACAGAGUUGUGGUAGAACUGCCCACUUGAGAAAAAAAAACAGAGUAGAAAAGGGAACCUUAAGGACUAAGGAAGCAUUACAAGACUUCGCUCUAAGCUAUACCAGGUGGUUACUUGCUACCAGAAGCAAUGAGUUGCAAGGCAGAGCACGACCUCCAGCAACGCACUGAGAAUAGUCGUGUGGGUUGACAUCCAGCCACCGGCAAGUCAAAUUCAUUAAAAGUAAACCCUAGUGUUUCCCACUGUGGAACUACAUCACUUUGCACUCAGUAAG